CUGGGCCUCCUUACCAUCUUCUCACCUCUUUAACUGUAUAAAGAGCACAACAUAGAUUGCAAAAAAAAAUCCCAUAGAUUUAAGCUUGUGGCCCCCCCAACAUCAAACUCUACCUCCGCCACUGACUAAAGCAGUCAUUUGAAAAUUGAAAAUGAGCAAUAUUUGGAAAAAGAAAUAGAUGAAUGAUCAAAAUAUCCCUUCCAAAAGUUGCACAAAAAAUCCAUACUAAAAAAAGUGUAGAACAAAAACAAGUUGGUAAGAGGAUGACACAAAUGUAGCUAGUAGCACGAAAUGGAUCGUACGUAUCAGGAGACAAAAAUACACCCUCAUCAUCCUUCAGUUUUGAAGGGAAGCAAAUUAAUAAAGACAUAGAGCAGCAGAGAAGGGAUGAAUGGGUGAAAAGCAUGUACAAAAGGAGACAAAUAGCUGAGAUCACAAUAGUGCUAGCUCCUUCUUCCGUUACUUGCUUCAUCAAAAAACAAGAUGCAAAACCUCAGGUUUUCUCACAGAAAACCACUGCAGAAUUUUUCUUAUAUAUAAUAAUAAUAAUCUACAAGGGACAAAUGCAGCUUCCGGAUUUCCACAAAUCUCAAAACCACUUUGCCUUUUUCUUUUGCUUUAUGUGUAUAUAUACACAUUUAGUGUUAGGGUCCAAAGCAUAGUCCUCCAUACACAAGAAAACAAAAAAAUAAAAAUCCCCCAGAAACAGAAAAAAGCAGAGUGCUCUGCUGAAUUAACUGAAGAUGUGUGCAACAAGAGGAGCUUGGAUCGCAGCGGUUAGUGUUGGAGCUGUUGAGGCUUUGAAAGAUCAAGGCUUCUGCAGAUGGAGUUAUACCAUGAGGUCUUUGUGUAAAAUAGGUAUGAAAAGAUAUUUGACCAGAAUAAUCUUAUUGAUCAUUGAUAUAUGUUUAUAUAAUACAUUCCGUAGGUUUUCCCUAUAAGUAAGCUAACUAGCUAGGAAAGAAUAUAUACGGGAAUCAAAUAAUAUAACAUUCCUAUUCUAUUAUACAAUCCCUAAACUGAAGGGUAAUCUUUGAUUCUCAACACUCCCCCUCAAGUUGGAGAGUGGAUGUCAAGAACUCCCAACUUGCGUGACAUACGAGCGAAAUCAUCUUUGCCCAAUGCUUUGGUGAAGAUGUCUGCUAUUUGCUGGGAAGAAGCAACAUGCUUUGUCGUUACAGAACCAUCUUGGAUUUUGUCUCUAAUAAAAUGACAAUCCAUUUCAAUGUGUCGUGUUCGCUCAUGGAAAACAGGAUUUGCUGCUAUAUGUAACGCAGCUUGGUUGUCGCAAUGAAGUAUCGCUGCCUUCCGAUGUGGCAACUGAAGAUCUCGUAACAAACUACGCAACCAAGUCAGUUCACAACAAGCACCAGUCAUAGCUCUGUAUUCUGCUUCUGCUGAAGAAAGUGAAACAGUUUUCUGUCUCUUUGAUCUCCAAGAAAUCAAGGAGUUUCCGAGAAAAACACAAUAUCCAGUGGUAGAUCUUCUGGUGGUUGGACAACCUCCCCAGUCAGAAUCACAAUAAGCUCGCAAUUUUAAGUCAUUUUGAGCUGGAAAAAAUAAACCUUGUCCUGGAGUGUUUUUGAGGUACUUCAAGAUGCGCAACGCCACCUCCAUAUGAGGUUUACGUGGCUCAUGCAUAAAUCUACUGAGCACAUGCACUGCAUAUGUAAUGUCUGGUCUCGUGAUGGUCAAGUAAAUCAAACGACCCACUAACCUCCUGUACUUGGCUGGAUCUUUAAGCAAUUCACCUGUGUCAGAUAAUUUCAAAUUUUGUUCCAUGGGAAAUAAGACAGGUCGUACCCCAAGAAAACCACUAUCUUUAAGGAUGUCAAUGGUGUAUUUCCUCUGAGAGAUGCUAAUGCCUUUCUUUGAACGCGAAACUUCAAUACCCAAAAAGAAUUUAAGGUCACCGAGAUCCUUAAUGCGGAAGCGGGUAUGAAGAAAACGUUUAAGAGAAUUAAUGGCACCCAAGUUAUUUCCUGUGAUCAAUAUAUCGUCAACAUAAAUCAAGAGAGCAAUGAAUGACUUUCCUCUGUUGCACGUGAAUAAGGAAUAGUCUGCUUUGGACUGAGUAAAACCAGCAGCUUGAAUAGCUUCAGAAAAUUUUGCAAACCACUGACGAGAAGCUUGUUUUAGGCCAUAUAAAGACUUGUGGAGGCGACAUACCAGAUUCUCCCCCUGUCGCUGAAGACCAGGCGGUGGUGUCAUAUAAAUCUCUUCAUGGAGAUCCCCAUGAAGGAAGGCAUUAUGGACAUCUAAUUGAUGAAGGGGCCAAGAGGAAGCAGCAGCAAGUGCAAGAAGGCUGCGAACAGUAACCAUCUUGGCGGUAGGAGAAAAAGUAUCAUGAAAAUCAACACCCUCUGUCUGUGUAUAACCCUUGGCGACUAACCGAGCUUUGUACCGUUCAAUAGAUCCAUCAGAAUGAUGUUUGAUCUUGUAGACCCACCGACAACCAAUAGGGUGCUUGCCAGGAGGAAGAGGAGUAAGAGUCCAUGUAUGAUUGGUCUCUAAAGCUUGAAGUUCAGAGCGCAUGGCUUGCUGCCAGUUAGGAUCAGAAUUGGCCUCAGAGAAGGAACGGGGCUCCACACUGUGACUGAUGUGAGUAAUGAAAGCAAGAUGUGCUGGUGUAUAUCUGUGAUAAGAAAUAAAGUUGCUCAAGGGAUAACGAGUACCUGAGGUGCGAUGUGAAGACGAAGACUCCGAUUGGACAUCGUUGGGUAGCGUGACUUGAGAGCAAACAUAGUCUUGGAGGCGCACAUUCGGAACCUUGUGACGUUCAGAUUGGCGAGUGGGUUGAACGGGUGGUGCCGGUGAAGGUGGUGCAGUAGGCGGAAGAGAAGAUGGGAUUGCAAGAGGAUCUGGUGCUGGAAGAGGAAGAUCUGCAGAAGGAGGCGCAAAAGGAGUGGAACUCAUUGGACUAAUAGGCAAAGUGUGCUCCGUGGGUUCAGGAGCUAGAUUGGAAUUUUGUGGUGGAGAUGAGUCAUGGGCUGAAAUGGGUAAAGGAAGGCUAGUGUUUGGGAUGGUGGUGGGACCAGCUGUUGGAGUAGAAAAAGGGAAGACAUCUUCCUUAAAUAAAACAUCUCGGCUAGUGAAUAUUUUUUGAGUGGACAAAUCAUAGAGUUUAUAUGCCUUUUGACCAAGUGGGUACCCAAUAAAAAUGGAUUUAAUUGCUCGAGAAUCAAACUUUUUGGUAGGGUGGACUAUAGUAGCAUAUGCAAGGCAGCCAAAUACUCUUAAAUGUGAAUAUGAUGGGGUUUUGUGAUAUAAACGUUCAAAAGGGGUUUGUUUGGAAAGAACUAAAGUGGGAAAUCGAUUAAUCAAAUGAACGGCAGUGAGAAUGCAGUCCCCCCAAAAACGGAGAGGCAAGUGUGCUUGAAAUCGCAAAGCACGUGCGGUCUCAAGAAUAUGACGGUGCUUACGUUCGACAACACCAUUUUGUUGGGGUGUGUAGAUGCAAGAAUGUUGAUAAAUGAUGCCUUGUUCUUUAAAAAAAUCUCGCAAUGAAGAAAAUUCACCCCCAUUAUCUACCCUAAUUGCUUGGAUUGUAGCAGUGAAUUGGGUCUGAACCAUGGAAAAAAAAGAUUUUAGAAUCCCUUGUGUUUCAUGCUUAUGAUGCAUAAGGAAAACCCAGGUAAAGCGAGAAUAAUCAUCCACUAUAGUUAAAAAAUAACGACCCCCAGAAAGGGAAGGAACUUUGUGAGGUCCCCAAAUAUCACAAUGAAUAAGGGAAAAAGGUUUUGAAGUUGAAAUUGAACUAAUGCCAAAAGGAAGGCGAGUUUGUUUAGAAAAAUGGCAAGCAUCACAAACAUUAUGGAAAGAAAAUGAACAAUUCAAAUGUUUUGCUAAAAAUUGUAAACGAGAGGAUGAAAUAUGCCCUAAACGGCGAUGCCAUAAAUCUCCAGGAGUUGUAACCAGGUGACAGGAAGGUUGGAUGGUGGAUGGUGUUCUGUCAGACGCCAACGCCACAAGGUAGUAGAGCCCAUCACGCUCCUUACCCAAACCAAUCAUCGUCCUCGUCUUCAAAUCCUGUAAAAUACACCAAGUGGGAAAGAAAAUUACUGAGCAUUGUAAUCCUUUCGUAAGUCGACUUACGGACAUCAGAUUAACUUUAAAUGUAGGCACACAUAGCACAUCUCGUAAAUAAAAAUAUGAGUUCAAAGGAAGAGUCCCAGUAGAUGCAAUUGGCGCUGUUUCUCCACUAGGCAUAGUGACUGGCAACAUAGAGGAAGUAUUCAUCCUCUUGGUAAGGAAUUUCGAAUCUGAUGUAAUAUGAUGAGUUGCUCCACUAUCAAUUAUCCAAUGUAAAUUGGGUAACAAUUCGGAAAUACCUGAAGAAGCUGAGGCGGUAUUGGCUUGUGGUGCAAUGUGGGAUGGAUUAGUGUUGUCACUCAUCAUCGCAUGAAUUUUCUUACAUUGAUCCUCGGAUAAAGAUGGCAUAGCUGUGUGAAUCUCCUGCAAGGAUGGACCAUUGGAUGCCACAUUAUUGGCGGAACUGCUGCUACCUUUCCCUUUACCUUUCCCGGAUUUGUGAAGCCUGUGUCCAGGGGGAUAGCCAUGUAGCUUGUAGCACUUGUCCACUGUAUGGUGAUCCUGAUCGCAAUGGCUGCAGUGAAGAGGUUUGCGCCCAGAAGAAUUUGAACGCUGAUUGUUUCGAACUGCCAUAGCUGCUGGUUCGGUGAUUGCUUGGCUGGAACCUAAGUCACGCUGCUUUUCUUCUUGGGUGAUCAAAGAAUAAGCCUUGCGAACCUUAGGGAGAGGCUGCAUAAGAAGUAUUUGGCCUCGAAUGGCGCUGUAGGACUCAUUAAGCCCCAUAAGGAACUGCAUCAACGAGUUUCGUUCCUCCUGUUCGACAUGCUUCUUCAUGGCACCGCAAGAACAAGCUGGGACGUCGCUGUAAGAAGACAGCUCGUCCCACAGACUCUUCAUCUUGGUAUAAUAAACAGCAACAGACAUCUGCUCCUGUGAGAGGGAAGCUAUGGUGCGUUGUAUCUCGAAAAUACGAGGAGCGUUAAGUUGGGAAAAACGUUCUUUAAGGUCCUCCCAAAUCUCUUGUGCGGUGGAGGAGUAUAACACGCUUUCUGCAAUAUCUGGUUCUAUCGAAUUGAGCAGCCAAGAUAAAACCAUGUCGUUGCAACGCUGCCAAACCUCAAAAGUCUCAGGAUUAGUUUUCUCCGAAGGGACUUUGAUUGUCCCAUUCACGAACCCCAAUUUGUUCUUCGCGCUUAGGGAGAUGCGCAUAGAGCGGCACCAUGUCGCAUAAUUGUUUCCAUUAAGGAUUUUGGAAACAAGAACCAUUCCAGGAUGAUCAGAAUGGUGAAUGAAAAAGGGAUCGGAAGCAUCGUUUUUGCUUCCCGAUGCAGCGGAUUCUUGGUCUUUGGUCAUGGUGGCAGCGUCAAGGAGAGGAUGAAAAUUAAGGUUGAAAGGUGACUAUUUGACAAGUGCGGCUAGAGCCAAGAGCUAGAGUUUCCUCUGCUCUGAUACCAUGUAAAAUAGGUAUGAAAAGAUAUUUGACCAGAAUAAUCUUAUUGAUCAUUGAUAUAUGUUUAUAUAAUACAUUCCGUAGGUUUUCCCUAUAAGUAAGCUAACUAGCUAGGAAAGAAUAUAUACGGGAAUCAAAUAAUAUAACAUUCCUAUUCUAUUAUACAAUCCCUAAACUGAAGGGUAAUCUUUGAUUCUCAACACUUUGAUCCAGCAUGCCAAGAACAAUAUGAGAUCAUUCUUACAAGCCAAGGAACUCUCUUCUUCUUCUUCUGCUAUGGUUUUGAACAAAAUGAAUUCUGAACAGAAGAACCAAGCUGAGGAUUCUCUAAGAAAAGUCAUGUACUUGAGCUGUUGGGGUCCUUAUUGAAAUCCCUCCAACAUUAUAGGUAGUUGAGGAUGUACCACUUAGAUUUUAUUUUUGAAACUGAGUUUAAGCUGUAUAUACAUGAUUUGAAUGUAUAUUUUCCCAACCCAACAACAAGAAAAUCCCAGAUUUUGAUGUUUACCAAUGAACAUGAACGUUGGUUUUUCAGUCAAACAACUAACCAGUUGAAAUUAUCACAAAGCCAAAAACAAAGAACCAACUAGUUGAAAUUUAUAUCAGUUAGGUGCAACAAGAACACAAUCUCAUCCUAUUGAUCAUCGUUGACAAAAUUCAAGUACAAAAGUAAUGUAAAAAUCCGAAGGGUUCGUUUAGAUCAAAAUCUUAGAGCAUUACGUUUUUCAAAUAUAAAAUGAACACACACCAGACAUGUUGAUAUUCCAUCUUAUUAGUCAUCUAAUUCAUCAACUAUAUAUGACGCUUUUAUCACAAACUAAAUAACUAACUCUUAAUUUAAUGAUAUUUCAUUUAAAAAAAAGAAAGAGAAUCCUCAUUAAUUUAGUAUAUUAUGUUUCUUCUUCAUCAAAUACCAAUUGAUACUCAAUCGACAUACAUCCAUGUGUGACAAUCAUGUGAACUCUAAUAUGAUCACUUCUCCAACAAGAGUGAUGGAAAUUUAGAGGAAACAUUCUAGUUUUUUUGGGGCAGCAGAUGUUAGGGACACUCAUCCGUUCAUCCAUGUGUGAGAAUAAUAUGAGCUCCAAAGAAGUUGAAGUUCCACUCAAAAUUAAUUUGAAAAAAAUAAUCCAACUUUUUAUGAAUUGUUACUAAAAUAUUCAACCAUUCAAUAUGAGACAUUUUCAUUUUCGCAUUUUCACAGUUACAUUUUCAACUAGCACGCAAACAAGUAAACUACUGGUUUCACUCCCAGACUGCUACUACUAGCCCACAGUCCAAAAUAAAGUGACGAGAGACUGUUUCUGUCUUUUGGCCCACACUUCAGAUCAAACAAGCAAACAAAUGGUUUCACUCCCAUACUUCCUAAAUACAAUAAUUUAAAUCAAAACCAUGUGCCCAUGAGGCAACAAAACUCUGUGCUUAUCCAAACUCCAGAAUAUUAAAUUCCACUUUUACCCCUGCCUAGUACAUCAUAUUGCCUCCAUCCGCAUGUACAAAACAGUAAUAUCUCCAAAUAUAGUGUAACAUCCACAUACCUUACCAAAAGAAACAGAAGAAAACAAAACCAGCUCUGGUUUCUUGCCACAAGCCCACCUUUUAAAAAAAAAAUUCCCCUAUAUGGGGAGCACCUCAAGAUCAUCUUCUCCAUCAAUACACUCAAACAUUCACAUUCACAUUCACUACUGAAGAGAAGAAAUCAUAAUCGUGAUGAGUUCAUCAAGUGCAAGCAAGGCUAUUGUGGCAGCAAGUGUUGGAAUUGUGGAGGCAUUGAAGGACCAAGGGAUAUGCAGGUGGAACUCUGCUUUAAGAUCUGUGCACCAGCAAGCCAAAACCCAACUCAGGUCAUUGUCUCAGGCCAACAACAAGCUCUCAUCUUCUUCUGCUUCAGCUGCUUUCAGUAAAGUCAGAGAUGAGAAGCUGAAGAAAUCAGAGGAGUCUUUGAGGACAGUCAUGUACUUGAGCUGCUGGGGUCCCAACUAAUUCAAUCAGCACAGAGACAGAGAGCAAAAAGAUCAGAAUUUUGCGCAAGAGGUUGCUGAAAUGAAGCUUGGGCAUGAACAUAAGGAUGAAACAAGAUUACACAACCCAUGAAAGGGCUCCUUGAGUUUUAUAUAUAUCAAAUGAUCAGGAUAUGUAAACUUGUUGGGUUACAUACUACUGGCAAAGGCAAUCGUUGUAAAUGGCAGACAGUUCAUUCAUGUCUGCUUGCUUGCUUGGGGCAAGUUGAUGUAAAUUACCACAUAAUGCAAAAGCACACAUAUUUCUGAGCAAUUGAUGCCUUGAUCAUUCUUUUCGAGUUUUUCUUUUUGCCCUUUCUUAUUAAUCCAUUAUUUACUUCGUUUUAACUGAAGGAUUUAUGAUACUAUAAAUUUGAGUAUUUAGUAGUGAAACAUAAUUGAGUUGCCCUAAUUGGGUAAAAUCCAUUGUGUUGAAUGGUUUCUUUCUCCAACAAAAGCUAUAGCCCAACACAUCCCAUGGUUUUUCCCACAUUUUAUGGGGUUUCCUUCCUCCUAUUCAUCCUCUGCUUUCGUUUCAAGUAAGCUCAGCUGCUGAGGUCCCGGUUGAAUAUUAAUUCAGCUUGUUUGUUAGAUCCCCUGAAUUCUCUAUGAUAUAUACAAUUGAUUAUUCUAUGCACCAGAAACUUAAACAUUAAUCAAGCUACUUAUUAAUGUUUAAGUUUUUAUGCUAACACACAUUUUAUAUCAAAUGAGUGUUGUUGGUGCUCUCAGAAAUGGUGAGAGGUACCUCUUCUUUUUGUAUUUUUGUUCACCACUCUUAAUUAGCGAUGAGUAAUACCAUCACGUUAAUUAUUGUGCAAGAAAUUCAUGUAAUUGUCGUGGAGGAAAUUCAUGUAAUAUGUAGAUUAAAUCAUACUCAUCAAAUGAAAAUUAACCUAAUUAUAAUGCUCACUAUUUCUUUAAUGAUAUGUCAACACAUAGUAGACUCAUGCCUAUAAUUAGUCGAAGCAAAUAGAGAGAAGGAAAGACACUAUAAUGUUUGUUUUUCCGCCCACGGUCCACACCAGACCAAGUAAACAAAUAGUUUCACUCCUACAUUGUGUUUGAAAUAGAUGCGCAAGAGGCAGUAAAUAGAAUCAAUUCUGACAAAGAGUGUUUUGAAGCAGAAGAGAACUUGGUGGAAGAUAUUAAGGAGAUGCGGUUGUGGUUUAGAUCUUUCUCGUGUGAACAGCAGUGAUGGGAUGGUAAUGUAGUUGCUCCUGAGCUAGCCCAAUAUGCUAUUAGAAACACAAACAUGGAUUGAGGAGAAGCCUCCUUGGUUGAGUUCUUUGCUUGCUGCAGAUUUAAGAGCUACUGGUUGAUUUAUAUAUUCGACAUCAAGUGGGAGGCCUUUUUUUACCUUUGGCGGAUUUUCCUCUUUUUUGGGGUUUUUUUAUGCCAACGAUUUUUUACAAAGGCCCAAACUGUUAACGUGAGUUAACCUACUAAAUCAAGGAGAUUUAUUUCCUAAGUUAAUUAGGUGAUUUACUUCAUUGUUUUAUAUAAUUGACACAUCCUUGUAUAAUUAGGAGAUAUUCUCCUAAUUAAUUACUGUAUCUAUUUCUUUAUGAAGUACCCUUGUAAAGUCCUAUAUAUACCUCCUUAUGGAGAAGAAUACAAUUAACCUAAAGUAUUCAAACCAUAUUCAUAUUUUAGCAUGGUAUAAGAGCAAUCUAUCCUAGGUUGUCUCUAAGCCCUCAAAUCAUACCCUCAAAUUCAAACCCAAACCCUAAAUCAAAUUCCUUACCUCCCAAAUCAAAUCCUCUUAUCAAACUCCUUAAACACAUACCUCUCAAAUCAAAUUCCUAAAUCAAAUUCAUACAUCAAAUUCCUCAAAUCAAAAUCCUCAAAUUCUCAAAUAAACUCCUUAACCACAAACACACACUCAUAUCAAAUGUUACUUCUGCUGCAAUGCCAGGACCCCCUACGAUUCUCUCCCUUCUUGCAAACUCACAGAAGCAUGCGAUCAAUCGUGUUAAACUGGCUACCCAGGCUCGUGCUUCUAUCACUACCACCAAAGGUUCUGCUUUUCAUAUGUCCUCUCCAAAGCCCACAUGAAUUAUUGACUUGGGUGCUAUGUAUCACAUGACAUUUGAUCCUGGCCAACUUAUUAGUCGCAAACCAUCCACUCAGUCGGUAGUGUCUAAUGCUAAUGGUAUCCUCUCCCAUGUGGUUGGAGAUGACUCUCUAUCUCUCUCUAACUCCAUACAUAUGGAUUCUGUAUUGAUUGUCCCAUUCUUGGACCAUAACUUGUUGUAUGUUGCACAACUUACUACUACUUUGAGGUGUAUUGUAAUAUUUUGGACAAAUCAUUGUGUUUUUCAGAACAUUCUCACGAGGAAGACGAUUGGUUGUGAUACUAGGUGGGGCAAACUCUACUACUUGGACUAGGCAUCGGAUAGUGAGACCAAGGUUGGUCAAGCUUUCACAACAAGUGGAGCUAGUUCUGAGAGGCAAAGAGACAAAGUUUGGUUAUGGCAUAAAUGUCUUGGGCAUGCCUCAUUUGGUUAUCUAAAGAAGCUGUUUCCAUCAUUAUUUUUCAGUUUUGAUGUUUCUAGCUUCCAGUGUGAUACGUAUGAAUUAGUUAAGAGCCAUCGUGUUCCUUUCCCAUUAAGUACAAAUAAAAGUUUGGUUCCAUUCUUCCUUAUUCAUUAUGAUGUUUGAGGGCUUGCUUAAAUCACUACUCCGGUUGGAGCUUGAUGGUUUGUCACCAUCACUGCGCACGAAUGACUUGGGUUCUCCUUCUCAAAACCAAAGGGGAAGUCAGUUUAACAUUUCAAUAGUUCUAUAAAAUAGUGGCAACUCAGUUUCAUGCCAAAAUCCAGGUUUUCCAUUUUGACGAUGGCGGCAAAUUUCUUAAUUAUAAUCUCAACAAAUUUUUACAAGAUCAUGGCAUCAUACAUCAACGCUCGUGUUCAUAUACUCCCCAACAAAAUGGGGUGGUUGAGCAAAAGAACCAACAUUGAUUGGAAGUCGUUCGUGCAUCUUUAUUUGAUACCAACAUGCCUCGGAAGAACCAACAUGUGAACCCUAAACCCUAACAUGAUCACUUCGCCAAUAAGAGUGAUGGAAAUUUGGAGGAAGCAUUCUUUUUUUUGGGGGGGGAGUGGGGGGGGGGGGGGGGGGGGGGGGGGGCGGCGGGCGCAAAUGUUAGAGACACUUGUCCAUCCAUCCACAUGUGAGCUUUACAUAAUUGUUGGAGGAAGUUGAGAUUUCAUUCCAAAAUUAAUUGGUAAUGGGGCAAGUAGUCCAACUUCACGCAAUUUCUCAACUAUCCAAUGUGAUAUAUAAUCAUGUGAGCUUUACGUAAUUAUUGAAGGAAGUUGCGAUUUCACUCCAAAAUUAAUUAGUAAUGGAGAAAAUAGUUCAACUUCAUACAAUUGAUCAACUAUCCAAUAUGAGACAUUUUCACUACUACAAACAAGUAAACUACUGGCCAGAAGCUGCUACCAAAAUAAAGUGACGAUACGAGAGACUCUGUUUCUGUCUUUUGGUCCGCUCUCCAAAUCAAACAAGCAAACAAAUGGUUUCACUCCAAUACGGCGGGCCUAAAUACAAUAAUUUAAAUCAAAACCAUGUGCCCAUGAGGCAACAAAAAUUCUGUGCUUAUCCAAACUCCAAAAUAUUAAAUUCCACUUUUACCCCUGCCUAGUACAUCAUAUUCCCUGCAUCUGCAUGUACAAAACAGUAAUAUCUCCAAAUAUAGUGUAAAACAUCCACAUACCUUACCAAAAGAAACAGGAGAAAAACAAAACCAGCUCUGGUUUUUCGCCACAAGCCCACCUUUUUUUAUUAGAAAUCCCCUAUAAAAAGAGCACCUCAAGAUCAUUUUAUCCAUCAGUACACUCAAACAUUCACAUUCACAACUGAGAAGUUCAAAGCAUCAAAGAGAGAUCAGUAAGGAAGAGAAAAGAAAUCAUAAUCGUGAUGAGUUCAUCAAGUGCAAGCAAGGCUAUUGUGGCAGCAAGUGUUGGAGUUGUGGAGGCAUUGAAGGACCAAGGGAUAUGCAGAUGGAGCUCUGCUUUAAGAUCUGUGCACCAGCAAGCCAAAACCCAACUCAGGUCAUUUUCUCAGGCCAACAACAAGCUCUCAUCUUCUUCUGCUUCAGCUGCUUUCAGUAAAGUCAAAGAUGAGAAGCUGAAGAAAUCAGAGGAGUCUUUGAGGACAGUCAUGUACUUGAGCUGCUGGGGUCCCAACUAAUUCAAUCAGCACAGAAACAAGCGCAAAAAGAUCACAUUUCUGUUGAGGCUUUGAAAGAUCAAGGCUUCUGCAGAUGGAGUUGCACCACCAUGAGGUCUGUGCACCAGCAUGCCAAGAACAAUAUGAGUUCUUUCUUACAAACCAAGGAACUCUCUUCUUCUUCUUCUUCUGCUAUGGUUUGAACAAAAUGAAUUCUGAAGAGAAGAAUCAAUUAAGAAAAGUCAUGUACUUGAGCUGUUGGGGUCUUUAUUGACACAAAUUGGAGCUCAUGGUGAAGUCCCUCAAGAUUUGAAGAUUUUUGAGACUGAAUUGAAGCUGUGUACAUUAUUUGAAUGUAAAUUUUCCCAAUCAACCAAAAAAACAAGAAAAUUUAUGUUCUUUGGUUUUUAUCAAUGAACAUUGGAUCUAUUAAUUAGACAAUUCUCGACCAGGUUAACCUUAGCUUACUGUAUCAUUGGUACUUAUUUGGAAUUCUAAUUCAAUACAUGUUGGUUUUAUUAAUGGUUCCUCCUUCAAAUAGAGAUGCUUUUGGUUCUAUUUUUCAGUCAAUCAACUAACCAGAUGAGAUUAUCACAAAACAAAAAACAGAGAACAAACCAGUUGAAAUUUAUUAGUUAGGGGCAACAAGAACACACAAGGUUAUCUCAUCCUAUUGAUCAUUGUUUGCAAAAUAAAAAGGCAGACGGUUCAUUUCGAUCAACCAAAACUUUAAAAACUAACUCUUAAUAUAGUGAUGUGAAAACUAACUCUUAAUAUAGUGAUAUUUCACUUAGAAUGAAGAAAGAGAAUCCUCAUUUACUUUACAAAGGGUUAUGAAGCGUUUAACAAAAGGCCUUGUCAUUUGGUCAAGGUCAACACAGUCUUGUUUAGUGGAAAAGAACCAUAAUCUUGUUCAGUGGAAAAGGACCAGAGUCUUGUUUAGUGGAAAAGGUCACUGAACAAGGAUCUGAGUCUUGUUUAGUGGAAAAGGACCAGAGUCUUGUUAGUAUUGUUAAAUGGAAAAAUGACCUGACUUACAGGCUAAUUGUCCCAAUUUCAAACUUCUAUGAUACAGUUGACAAUAUGUGUAGGAGAACACCUCCCUCCGGCAAUAUCACUUAUAUAAAACAAGCCUUAUGAUGUGUUUAAGUCCGGCUCAUAGUUUGUGCAGGCUGGACGAUGGCACAGGGCCCCCAAAUAUUUGAGGCUCCAAUUUUUUUUCUAGCCCACUUCUAAAAGAAACCCAAAAAAACCCUUCAUUUAUCUACAGUUUAAUUUUUUAAAAUAAACCCUUUAUUCCUUUUGACAAUAAGACCAAAGAAAGGAAAAUAGGGAGCCUUUUGACUAAAGAAAACGGGCCCCCCUGUUUUCAAUUUCCUAACCCAACAAUUUUAAGUUUGUUGUAAAGUUUAGAGUGGAGACUAGGGCUGGGCACGGUUCGGUUUGGACCGGUUUCGGGGAAAAAAUAGAACCUGAUCCGAUAGUGCAGACCGGUUCAGUUUGGACCGGUUCUGCUCAACAUCCAUACAGAAAUCCGAACCAAACCAGACCUGUCCGAUUCCGGUUCGGUUCCUGCGGUUCCGGUUUUUUUUUAUUUUAUUAUUUUUUUAUAAUUUAAAAUUUAACAAAUCUGCCCAAAAUGUAUUUAUAUACUAACAUACCCCAAAUUUGAGGUUCCAUCAAGCUUUCAACACAUCAAAAUGAAUCCAACUUCAACAAAAAUACAAUCCAAAUUCAAAUGAAUCCAACUUAAACAAAAAUUCAAUCCAAAUUCAAUCCAACUUCAACAUCAUCAAAAUGAAUCCAACUUCAACAAAAAUACAAUCCAAAUUCAAAUGAAUCCAACUUCAACAAAAAUUCAAUCCAACUUCAACAUCAUCAAAAUGAAUCCAACUUCAACAAAAAUACAAUCCAAAUUCAAUCCAACUUCAACAUAUAAAUUACAACCCAAAUUAAAUCAAACUUCAACAAAAUAAGUUCCAAAAUAAAUUACUAGCCAAAUACAACCCAAAUUCAACCAAAUAUACAUUACAACCCAAAUUAAAUUCCUCCUAACAUUGGAAAGUAGUUGGAGCUAUGGUGCUAGGUGUGGAUGAACUCAUAAUAUCUACAUAAAAAAAAUCAAAGGAUCAACAUACUCACAUUAACACUUUGAUUUACAACCCACUUCCACUUGUUGGGUUUGUUAAACCAAUAUAUCCAUUUCUUAGGACAAUUCUAUCUCUUAGGAAAGCCUCUGAUCAUGAUUCUGCUCUGGACUAAUAAAAAAAAUCAAAGACUUCCAUUAAAAACAGAAACUUCAGUUUUGUUAAACAAUUUAGGCAGGAACACUUUGCCUUUGGGAAAUCAUUAAAAAUCCAUUUUGAUUCAAAAUGGUGUGAACAUUUCCAGAUCACACGUAGACAUAUAAAACUUCAACAUAUCAAAAGUUCAUCGAAUUCCGAGUUAAGGAAGCCAGUCAAAGACUAAAUCCAAAAUAGACUAGGCUGCAGAGUUUUCUAUUUUCUGCAGAAUAAUGCCAACUUCGAAAAUUUGCCAAAUUGAAUUGGAUUAGUACAAUUGUAAAAAAUAAACAAUUGCAUUAAUAAAUUUGCCAAAUAAAUCUACUAAAUUAUAAACUGUUUCCAAACCAAAGAGUACAUUAAGUCUUGCAGUAAAAAAAGUCUGGUAGAGUUGUAUAUAUCAAUGUCAUGUAUAUGUAGGAAAAGGAAAUUACCUAAUUUCUCAGUGUGGCGAACAUCAUCAACCAGCAAAACUCUGUAACUAUCCCUACUCCCAAUACCUCUCUUGUCCUUGAGUCGUCCAAUAUCUCCUCCUGUAAUUUCAACAUUAAAUAAGGCAGAAGAAUAGUACAGUACAAUGCUACAUUGCAAUUGGGUUUUCUAAUAUGUUUUUCUCCCCCUUUUCAUAACAAAUCUCAACUAUUGAAUACAAAACAAAAAUCCCAGAUGAGAAAAAUCAAGACAGUUGAAGGAUAAAUGAUAAAGUAGGUACCUUGUUCAAGCUGGGUAGCAGGGUCAAAUUGGGAUUGGUCAAACUUUGGGCGCUCCAAGACCCCAGCACCACCCUUGGAAGACCUAAACCUGGCCUUCACAGCCAUGCCAGAGAGAGUCAGAAAAUUGAAUUGGGGAAAGAAAAAAAAAAGGAGAGAGAUAGAGAGAGAAUCUGACCUGCAAUGCAACGACUGAGAGGCUAAGAGAAGAGCGGCGGCAGAGAGGGGUGUGACUGUGACGUGCUGGUUGAGAGAGAGGUUUGGAAUCGGUGGCUGGUGGCUGGCUGGCGGCUGGCUGAGUGAGUAUGAAACUAAAUGGGAAGGAGAGGAAAGAACGAAGAAUGAAAAAACCCAAUCUGAAUUUGGUGUAAUCCUGUGUGUGCGCUACCUAUGGUAGCAGCAUACACAACCAAUCAAAAUUUGACAGGUAUGAAAAUAUAUAUAAUUUCAAAUAUAAAUAUAUAUAAUAUUUAAAAAAUAUAUAAAUUAAUUCUAUUGGACCGGUUCGGAUUGGACCGGUUCCUUAGGAUGGAAAACCGGAACCGGAACCGGUCUGAACCGGUUCGGUUUGGAUUUUUCUCGAUUUUUGACUUUUUUGGUCAACACGGUUUUUUUCGGUUUUUUCCGGAUUGGUUUGGUUCGGUUUUGCGGUUUUGCGGUUCAAAUGCCCACCCCUAGUGGAGACCACAUAUUUAGAAAAAAUGAAGCAUGUCAUGAUGAAGGUGUUGAAGAAUUGGAUCCACAUAUUAGAAGGAAUGAUUACAUAUCCAUGUGAAGUUAUCAACUUUGCCUGUAAACGGGCUUCAUCCUUCCCUUGCAUGAGACUACAAUUAGAGAAGGAAGAGAGAGAGCUCGGAGAGAAAGAAGAGAAGGAAAGAAAGAGGGUGAGUGAGCGGAGAGAAAAAUGAGAGCAGUGAGAAAUUCUCCAAGAGAGAAAAAAAUCAGUGAGCCACAUAUAUUGUAAAUAUUAAAGUUGUAACCCUAUUAUUUGAUAUAGUGGAAAAGUUAUAACUGCUGCUCUUCGAGGACGUAGACAAGGCCGAACCUCGUUAAAUGUUGUGUCUCAUCUACUUUACUUUAUCUCACAUAUUCCAGUUAUUUAAUAACAAAGUUGGAUGUUUUAUGCAAGCUUUGGAAUUUGAAGGCAUGAUUAUAAGAAAUUUAUAAAAUCAGGUGAAUUCCUAAUUUUUUUUAAUUUUUUAUCUAAUGUGAAUGAAUUUUGUACUUUAAAUUAUGACUUUUAGAUUUACCCUUAAAUUUUUCCCUUAAAAAUCCACUAUGAAUGAGAAAAUAAUAUUGUUUUGUUCAUAACUUUGUCAUUAACAUUUUUUCUUCUAUGAGAAUAUCAUAACAUUUUGUACUUGUAUAUAAAAGGCCUCAAUAUCACUCGUUAUACAGAGCCUCCAAAAUCAAUAAACCGCCGGGAUGUAUUUCUUACUAAUUGAUACUCAACCGAUGUGCAUCUACCUGUGACAAUCAUGUGACUGUUCUGUCGUUUGGCCCACACUCCAAAUUAAACAGGCAAACAAAUGGUUUGACUCCCACACCGCAGGCUAAAAUACAAUAAUUCAAAUCAAAACCAUGACCCAUGAGGCAGCAAAACGUUGUGCUUAUCUGAAUAUCCCAAUCCAUCUGCACGUACACAACAGUGAUAUCCCAAUCCAGACAUACUUCUGGAAACAGAAGAAAACAAAACCAGCUCUGUUUUUUUGGUUACAAGCACACCGUUUUUUCUUUUUAUAAUCUCGUAUAUAAAGAGAGAGUAAAAUUUUCGAAACAAUACCCUUAUUUCCAUGUCUUCCAGCUACUUUAUCACCUACUUUGAUUUCACGUUACUCAUUAUCAUCUUCUCCAUCAAUAAUACACUCAAAACAUUCACAUUCACAGCUGAGGAGUUCAAAAGAUUUAAGAGAGAAAUAGUAGAGAGGAGAAAAGAAAUCAUAAUCAUGAUGUCAAGUACAAGUGUUGGAGUGGAGGCAUUGAAGGAUCAAGGGAUAUGCAGAUGGAACUCUGCUCUAAGAUCUGUGCACCAACAAGCCAAAACCCAACUCAGGUCAUUUUCUCAGCUCUCAUCUUCUUCUGCUUCAGCUGCUUUCAGUACAGCCGGAGACGAAAAGCUGAAGAAAUCAGAGGAGUCUUUGAGGACAGUCAUGUACUUGAGUUGCUGGGGUCCCAACUAAUUCAAUCAGCACAGAGACAAGAGCAAAGAUAUCAGAUUUUUGUGCAACCGGUUGCUGAACUGGAGCUUGGGCAUGAACAGAAGGAUGAAACAAGAUGACACAACCCAUGAAAGGGCUCCUGGAGUUUUAUAUAUAUCAAAUGAUCAGGAUAUAUAAACUUGUUGGGGUUACAUACUGGCAAGCAAUCGUUGUAAAUGGCAGAUAAUUCAUUCAUGUCUGCUUGCUUGCUUGGGACAAAUUUAUGUAAAUUAUGUUAUGACAAUUACCUAUAAAUUUGAGUAUUUAGCAGUGAAACAUAAUUGAGUUGCCCUAAUUGGGUAAAAUCCAUUGUCUUGAAUGGUUUCUUUCUCCAACAAAAGCUAUAGCCCAACACAUCCCAUGGUUUUUCCCACAUUUUUAUGGGUUUCCUUCCUCCUACAUUCAUCUCUGCUUUGGUUUCAAGUAAGCUCAGCUGCUGGGGUCCCGAUUGAAUAUUAAUUCAACCUUGUUUAUUUACAAAAUGACUGUGAAUUGUAUAUCCCUGAAUUCUCUAUGAUAUAUACAAUUGAUUAUUCUAUGCACCAGCAACUUAAACAUUAAUCAAGCUACUGUGGUUUUGGUCAGAACGAAAACAUUAAUUUUUAGUGUAAAAAGGUUUUAUGCCUACACACAUUUCAUAUUAAAUUGAGUGUUGAUGGUGCUCUCAAAAAUGGUGGCAGGUGCCGUAGGUACCUUCCUUUUUAUAUUUUUGUUCACCACUCUUAAUUGACGGUGAGCAAACCCAUCACGUUUAUUGUCGUGGAGGAAAUUCAUGUAAUAUGUAGAUUAAAUCAUAUUCAUCAAACAUGUAAUAUAUAGAUUAAAUUAUACUCAUUAAACAAUAAUUAACCUAAUUAUAAUGCUCACUAUUUCUUUAAUGACAUGUCAACACAUAGUAGACUCACGCCUAUAAUUAGCCAAAGCAAAUAGAGAGAAAGAAAGACACUAUUGUUAUACAACUAAAAUAAUCAGAGAGUAUGAGAAGUACCACUAAAUAUUGGGAGUAUAUUGGGAGUGGAAUUAUAUUUGCUCUUUGUGGUGUUUACACUGACAGAAUUUCUUCUCAGAUAGAACUCAUUCUCUCUUUUCUUCUCUGACUCUGACUCUCUUCUCUUCUAAUUGGUUGUGUAUUUUACAACUUAAAAGGAAGCCUAUUUAUAGGCAAUUAGAAUGGCCUCCCGUGGAUGCAUCUUCAACAUUUUCUCUCAACAUCAUCAUUCAUCCCAACAUCAUAAUUUCAUCUUUUGACUAAUACUCCCUUACUUUAUUCAUGUGGCCUUCACUUCUUACUUUAUAACAACUAUAAUGUUUGUUUUUCUGCCCACGGUCCACACCAAACCAAGUAAACAAAUAGUUCCACUCCUACACUGCGAGCCUAAAUACAUAUAAGUUUGCACAUAAUUUUGGGUUUCAAGACAUUGUGUUGGAAAUAGACGCGCAAGGGACAGUAGAUAAAAUCAAUUCUGACAAAGAGUUUUUUGAAGCAGAAGGAAACUUGGUGGAAGAUUAAAGAUGCGGUUGUAGUUUAGAUCUUUCUCGUGUGAAUGGCAAUGACGUGACAAUAAUGCAGUUGCUCAUGAGCUAGCCCAAUAUGCUAUUAGGAACACUGGUUUUUAUACAUGAAUUGAGGAGGAGCCUCCUUGAUUGAGUUCUUUACUUGCUGCAGAUUUAAAAGCAACUUGUUGAUUUAUGUAUUCAAUGUCAACUGGGAGGCGCUUUUUUUCUUGUGGCGAAUUUUCCUCCUUUUUGGGAGUUUUUUAGGCCAAAUAUUUUUGUACAGAGGCUCAAACUUGUACAUCCCUUUCCUUCUUUUUGUUGUAUUAUGUUGGUUGGUUAUUGAAUGAAGUCCAGUUAUCUCAAUGUAAAGAAAAAAGGGCAAAAAAAGAAAGCAAAGCAAAACCAUAUGCCCACGUGGCAGCAAAAUGUUGUGCUUGUCCAAAUUCUGAAAUCCCACUUCUACCCAUGUUUAAUUGAUCAUUUCUACUGCAUCUGGAUGUCCAGUUGAGUAAUAUCUGAACUCAUAGUGCAUCAUCCACAAGGUCCAAAAGAAACAAAAACCAUUGGCUUUUCUAUCCCAAAGAAAAAAGACCCAUUUGCUUUCACUGAGGAAACCGCCUCUAGUUUUUGGGGACGGACAAAAAAGCACACCGUUUCUAAUCCCCUAUAUAAAGAAGCACUCUUUGCUCAUCUACUUCAUCGGACACUUACACAUUCACAUACCAACUGAAGAGUUCAAAAAAAUCAAAGACAGAAAAAUCUAGUAGAUAAGAGAAGAUAAGAGAAAUCAUAAUCACGAUGAGUUCAUCAAGUGCAAGCAAGGCUAUUGUGGCAGCAAGUGUUGGAGUUGUGGAGGCACUGAAGGACCAAGGGAUCUGCAGAUGGAACUCUGCUUUAAGAUCUGUGCACCAACAAGCCAAAACCCAACUCAGGUCAUUUUCUCAUGCCAACAACAAGCUCUCAUCUUCUUCUGCCUCAGCUGCUUUGGGUAAAGUCAGAGAUGAAAAGCUGAAGAAAUCAGAGGAGUCUUUGAGGACAGUCAUGUACUUGAGCUGCUGGGGUCCCAACUAAUUCAAUCAACACAAAAACAAGAGCAAAAAUAUGACAUUUUUGUGCAAGCGGUUGCUGAAAUGGAGCUUGAGCUUGAACAAGGGAUGAAACAAGAUGACAACCCAUGAAGAGCUCCACCAAAUGAGGACAUAGUUAGAUAUUGGCAAUCGUUUUGUGCUUGUAAAUGGCAGACAAUUCACGUCUGCUUGGGGCAAAUUGAUGUAAAUUAUGUCAUAUUAAGACAAUUACCAUAUAAAACAUGUAUGUUUCUGAGAAUUGCUGCCUCGAUCAUUAUUUUGGUCUCUGUUUUUUUGUGUAUAUAUUUUGCCCAUUGUUUAUUUUGUCAUGAGUAGAAGAUUUAUCAACCCUACAGGUCUGAGUUGAAUUUGUUUAAUUUCAAAACAGUAUAUUUGAAGAAGGAAACGUUUUAUGGAAUUAGAAACAUCCCAAUCUGAAACUAGGACAGAAGAUUAGCCAUGAUGGCUCAGCCAAUACAUCUCAUGCUCUAUUGGAAAGGAAAAUACUUACUUCCCUUCCCUCCUACAGGUAAGGAUACAGCUACAGGUAAGGAUACAGGUAAUGAGUCAAAUGAGGCAAGUAGAAUCCUAUUGGAAAUAUGAAUUUAGAAUAUAAUAAUAUCAAUAUAGUAAUGGAUCUCCAAACCCAACUAUUUUCACCAGUAGUUUCCAAGAAGCAUUCUCCUUCUUAAAUAUUUCUUAACUCAAACCAAUUGGAGUGUCUCCAAAAAAAAAAAAAAAAAAGAAGAAGAAGAUAAUUUCCACUAGAAAACAAACAAAAACAAGUGGUCUUUCCUCCCAUACCUGAGGCUUAAAUGGAUUUUAUGAAGGAAAACCGUGUGCUGUGGUCCUACCCAACCCAAUUUUGUCUCCGUCAAUGAAUGUGACAAAUAGUUGACAGGAAAAAAAAUGAACGUGACCAAGUAGCCCAAUCUUGACUCACCGCUGAGGAAAAACCACUGGCUACCCCAGCAAAAACCUCUACAGCUAGAGCUAGCCCAUGGCUUUUUUUUCCCCACAUUUUAUGGGGCUUAGUUUUAGUGUCACUCUCCCUCCAUAUAAAAGCAACACCAACUCCCCAUUUACUUCAUCAAAAUUCAAACACAUCAAAACAUCAGUUUUACUUCCCAUCAAGUUUAAGAGUGUUCUUAUUAAGUUUACAGAAGAAGAUAUCAAUAUGAGCAGUUCAUCAUCACCAGCAGCAAGGAGAGGUUGGGUGGUGGCAGCAAGUGUUGGAGUUGUGGAGGCCUUGAAAGACCAAGGGAUCUGCAGGUGGAAUUAUACUAUGAGAUUAAUGCAGCAGCAUGCAAAGAGCCAACUUGGGUCUUUUUCUCAGGCUAACAAGCUCUCUUCCUCAUCCUCUGCUCUGGUUUCAAGCAAGCUUAGAGAUGAGAAGGUGAAGCAGUCUGAAGAGUCUCUCAGGAAAGUCAUGUACCUCAGCUGCUGGGGACCCAAUUGAUUUCAGCAACUACAUAAUUUGUAGCUGAAGAACAUGAUCAAUACAAUUUGGCACUGAAGGCAGGCUUGGAUUACAAAUUUUCAAGUUUUGAGGCAUGGGAUGAUGAUAGCUGGAAACAUGUGGUUAAGUUGACCAUGGUUGGUGUAGGAUUUGCAGCCUGAAGAAAUUUUGUUUGUUUACAAAAUUAUUGUAAAUUGUAAAUGUCUGAGUUCUCUAUGAUAUAUACAAUUAGUAUGAAAAUUGAUAUGUCAUCUGAUCAUUAGCCCUAACCAUUAAAAUCUAUAUCAUGUAUGGUCUGUUAAGGAAGGGAAGGGGUUUAAAUCAAAUUUUCUAUGCAGAUCCUACCAUUAUUUAGUACCAACUAGUAAAUAAUUUCGUCCAUAGCCAGAGAAAAUAGCGAAUGCAAUAAUGUACAUAGUUAGUAAAUAAAUCCUGAACUAUUUAAUUUUUAUAAAUAAAUUCAAAAAAUAUUUAAACAAUUAUGUUUUGUCGAGUGUUUUGGGUUUUUUUUUUAUGAGGUUUCGGAUUUGGUUUGUUUUAAGAAACAAAGGCAGUUUUGUAAUUUAUAGUAAGUUCAAAGCUUCUUUGUUAUAUUGUAAAUGGGUUUUCGGUGUGUUUCUAAAAUUCAUUUCAUGUAGUUUUUUUUAAUAGUUUGAGCUCCUAUAUUGGACAUAACAAUGAAUCCCCACCUUUUUUUUUUUUUAAUUAACUGGAAUGAUGACAAAUGCUUUAAAAGCAUAUAUUCUGUGGCCUUAAAAGCAUUAUUAUUUUGAAGAAACAAGGUGCGCACAAUGUCUUGUGUACCCCAGCAGAAAAGUUCAAACCAGAAAAUCCACUGGAUUUCCUUGGCUCAAAACCAGCAGCAACUGACGUAGUAGCCUCUGGUUUUUUCCCAAUAUUUUGGCCUUUUCUUUUUCUCAAUCAUGUAUCCAACUCAAGUCACUUAUUAUUUCCUUUCUAUAUAAAGAGACCCUCCAUGCCAAUUAUUUCAACUCAACCUUUCUCAAAAUUUGUUCUCUUGCAAAAGACCUAUCUUAUCAUAAUUUCAAUACAAAUUAAGGGGCUUACAUCCCAAGAAAAAGGAAAAUCAAGAUGAUGAGUGCAGCAACAGCAAGUAGGGCUUGGGUUGUGGCAGCCACAGUUGGAGUUGUGGAAGUGUUGAAAGACCAAGGGUUGUGCAGAUGGAACUAUCCCAUGAGACUGGUGCACCAGCAAGCCAAGAACCAUCUCAGGUCUUUUUCUCAGGCCAAGAAGCUGUCUUCUUCUUCUUCUGCCAUGGCUUCAAGCAUGAUCAUGAGAGAAGAGAAAAUAAAGCAGUCAGAGGAGUCUAUGAGGAAAGUGAUGUAUCUUAACUCUUGGGGUCCCAACUGACACCAACCAAAUUAAGCUUAGCUUAGCUUAAGGCCAUUGUAAAUUACUUUAAGGCAAAUGCUCUUACAAAUUUGGUAAAAUACAUUGGGCACUUAUGUUUUCCAAAUUCAGUUUUUCUUCUUGCUUGACUAAAGUGUUUAAUUUGGCACAGCUUCUUGGCCUUGGCCUAAUCCGAUCAUAAGAACAACACAACUUUAUUACUAAAUUAUUCACCCAAAGGAAAACUGAAACAAACUUUUCCCCAAAAAUUCUGGGCUGAAAAGAACAAAAUAGCCGCUGGUAUGGCCAAAAACCACAACCCCAGUGAAACCACCUCCACUCUCAUCACCCCCUUAGCUCUCUCUCUCUCUCUGCAUAUUUAUGGCUUCAGUUAGAUAGUCUCGAUGCUUAUAUAUGUCUAUCUCAAUACUCUCUCCAACUUACUGUAACAAAUUCUACUUUGUUCUUUAAAUUACUGGUAGUGGCCAUCAUUCAAAAGUUAAAAAAUGAGGUGGAAGAGCAAGGCUUGGGCUGUUUUGGGCACUGUUGUAGCUGUGGAGGAGUUGAAAGAAAAGAAUCUAAGCAAAUGGAGAUCCCUGCAGAGUUACCAACAUGCACUAAUUAACAACAUUGUGCCACUGUCUACACAAGUGGGAAAAUCUUCAUCUACAUCUUCAACAAUGGAGUCAAAGAAGAAAUAUUGCAAGCAGGGGACUCUGAAUCUGAAGCAAUCAGAAGAACCACUUAGACUAAUUAUGUACUUGAGCUGUUGGGGACCCAACUGAGCUGGAAAGAUAUGCUGCAUGCCCCUCCAUGUUUAUGAAAUCAUUACUAAGCAUUAUGUAUGUUUGUGUGUGUAUUUCAAGAUGUACACAUCCUGAUCUAUAAUCUUAUUAUCAUCAUAUCUUUGUAAGAACUUGUUCUAAAAAAAGAGGAAAUAAAAACUCUAUGCUUUUACUCUUAGGCCGUGUUUGGUGGGUUGAAUUAUAUGACAGAAUAUGAUUCAUAAUCUAGUAAAAUGUUUCCUAGACUAAAAACAAUCGAAUUGAAUUAUGUCCAAUCAAUUACUAUCCUGAAAUUAGAGCAUAUAAUUCAGUAGCUACUGUCAUAUGGUAGUGCUCUAAUCUCCAAGCAAUAAGCUCUUGGGUCCAUCAACUUAUUCUAGACUGUGGAACAAGAUACAAGGAACAGAAAGCAACUUUACGCAAAAGCUGUUUGAUUAUACCAUAGCAAGUUAGCAACUGUUGUUAUUGCCCCCAAAUCAAAUGAAAAAUGGUAUAUGUCAUUGUGUACGAAACAUGAUUUCAUUGAUUUGGGAUAUUGGAAAAGAUGAGAUGCCUUUCACAAGAGGGCCACAUGGGAGCAUCAGUGGUGGGUUUUCUGUGUCGUUAUCUUUCAUGGCACCACCAGAACAUGUUCUAAUGCUCUAAACAUCAUAGCCUAUUUUAAUUAUGAUGGCCUUAUGCCAUGCUCUCCUCUUUAAGCCUUUAUCAGAAUAAAAAUACAAGAAAGAAAAAAGGAAUCAUAAGAAGAUUUGAAAGAGAACUUUGAUUUGGUGCAAGUGUUAUCCGAAGCAAUAGUUCUUCCACCAAUGGGUAGCUAUAUUGUUGCUAUCUGUCAUUUUCUUUUGUUGUAAACCACUAUCAAGCUGUUAAUUAUUGUAAACCACUAAUCUACAGGAAGGGAUCCAGGUGAAAGGGGCGAGCUCACUAUUCUGGCCGACUAACCUAAUUCACGUCGAUUUUGUAGAUCUCUUUUAACGUUGAGAAUAAAAAUAUUAAUAGAUUAAGGGUUAAUUAGUCUAAAAUCCCGUAUUAUGUUUUUUUUUUUUUUUUGGGGGUCAAGAUAUAGUGCCAAUAUUUAGCCCAAAAGUUUCAAACUUGAAGCUCUCCUACCAACUGCCAGCCAACAUCAACAGGGAGAAUGAGUAAAAGUAACCACCGCCAAUUCCGACAAUCCAAAAAGUCCAGAGCGAAAGGUCUCAUUCAGCCGCAUAUGGCAUUGGCUAUCAUAAAGACCUUUCACAACCAGAGACACAACUAAAACACGCAUUGCACCAAAGCCUCAAUCUUUCAGCUUCAGCCUUCAAUUCGCACAAAACAAAAUCUCUCUUUUCACUUUUUUUCCAACUAUCUCCGGCGAAACCCAUUUUCCGGCUGCCACCGUGAAGCGAAUUUCCGGCGGGUGGGUCGAGAAUGGCUGUGGAAGCUGAGAAAUCUGGGCCUGAUGGGAAGCUGUGGAGUCUAUUCAAAAAUCCAUUUGGGCAGUCGAGAAAUGCCUCUUCCUCUUCUUCUUCUUCGUCGUCUUCGACCUUGUCUUCUAUGCACAAUGUUCAUCAGCUGGGUCAGACUCAUGAGUCUGUGGAGCGUGCGGCUCUUCAUUCUGCCAGUACGGUGUCGUAUGUGACCAAGUCUUUGCUUCCUGCUAGGAGGAGGCUCCGUCUUGAUCCUGCUAAUAAGCUCUUUUUUCCAUGUACGCCCCUUACCUUGUCUGCUUUAAUCAUCUUUGUUGUUUGUAUAAUGGUUUUGAUUUUGGUCAUCUAUUUCAUUUUCUGAGAAUUUUGAAGGUAAAGAGUGGAACUUUUGUUUCUUUUGGGGUGAGUAAUUAGUUGCAUGAUGUCUGUUUUUGAGCUUACACUGGUUUCAUUUGCCAAAUGGUUAUCUGGGUCUUCGACAUUUAGUACAUAGAGCUGCAUUCUUUGUUCUUUGAUUUGCUUAAGUUGCAUGAUCUUUUGAUUUCAUGAGUUAAAGACUUACAGUUGUUCCAAUUGUUAUGCUGAUCUGGUCGGUUCUUAUUGGUGUCUCUAUUUCUGAUAUUCUCUUUCUUUAGUUUGUUUCUGUUGCAUGAUGCAUCCAUUUGUCCAGUGUGGAGUGGUUUGAUUGAUCCUAAUAUGGGUUGUUCUUACAUUGUUAGCAUCACCCUGGAUUUCUUAUAAGAUGUUCACUCAGAUAAUAUUUGCUAAUCAUUAGAAAAGUGUAAUGCUUGCUCAAUUCCUUUGCCGAUUGAUGAUUCAAGCUAGUUAUGUUUUUCCUCACUCUCUGACUGUUUUCUCUGAAGAUGAACCUGGUAAGCAGGUGAAGAGUGCCAUUGGAAUUAAAAACACAAGCAAGUCUCAUGUAGCUUUCAAGGUAUCGAUUGACUCCUCGAGUCCCCUUUUUUGUUUUCCCCCUUAUUAAGUAUUUUACUUCUUUUACAUAUCAGAAACUAGUCAUAAACCAGUAUUGUGAUCAAAUUGGGACAACAUUUGAAUUGAAAAUUGGGGAUGACAGCAUUAGGAGUUUUCUGGUGUCAAUUUGAUCUGUUACGCUUAUUUCCCAACAGAACCAUCUAACUGCUUACAUGUUGGUUGUUUUUUUUUUGUUUAGUUCCAAACAACUGCACCAAAGAGUUGUUACAUGCGUCCUCCAGGGGGAAUACUUUCUCCGGGUGAAAGUCUUAUUGCAACUGGUAAUUCAUUCUUCAUGGUCUUCCCUCACGCACUCUUAUAGUCAUUUUUGGGUUAUUUUUCAUUUCCAUUUGCAAUAAAUAACAUGCUAGCUAUUUAGAUUUUAGUGAGUUAUCGUCUGAAAAUUGUAACUUGAUUGACAGUCUUCAAGUUUGUGGAACCUCCGGAGACCAAUGAAAAACUAGUAGACCAGAAGAGCAGGGUUAAGUUCAAGAUCAUGAGCUUGAAAGUGAAAGGAGAUAUGGACUACGUACCAGAACUGGUAUAAUUGCAGAUAUUUUGUAUAACUUCUACCGUAUCUUAAUACAUUGCUUUUCCACGAUAAUAGUUUUUUUUUAUUUUUCUAUGUAAAUGGAACCAAUAACUACUGGACUUUUACAUUCCCUCAAAAUAAGCAGAGAUAUUGUAAGUAGAAUUGAGAUAGCAGAACUGAGGUCAUUUUCUCUGUUAUCUGUAGCCUGCUGUGCCAAUAUAAUUAGUAAGUGAACGUUCAGAUGUCAUGUACUUCAUAGCAAAUGUUUGCAGAAAUUCUAAUUGGAACUUUCCUAUAAUUAGAACAUAUAUCUUCUACUCUGAAUCAGGUUGAUCUUACUAUAAAUCUCAUUGAUUCUUGAAAAGUUAUGUAUAUUUUUGUUUCUAUCACAAAUAGAAACCAGUAUGCAUCAUAAUUCCUAGAUAUUAAACAUUAACUGUUACAUGCAUUUAUGCAGUUUGAUGAGCAGAAGGACCAAGUUGUGGUUGAGCAGGUUUUGCGUGUUGUUUUCCUGGAUCCUGAACGCCCUACCCUUGUAAGUAGAUGGUGGAUACAUCUCUAACCUGUCAUUUUCCUGCCCUCUGCAUACUUUUUUUUAUUGUCUUAAUUUGGCCGCAGCAUUUUCACUUUCAAUUUGAUUUUUGUAAAGGCGAUGGAAAAACUUAAGCGGCAAUUGGCUGAGGCUGAGGCUGCCCUCGAAGCACGAAAGAAGCCUCCAGAAGAAACAGGGCCCCGAAUUGUAGGGGAAGGACUUGUCAUAGAUGAAUGGGUGAGGUGUUUGACAUGUUUUUGUUUCUUUUGAUAGAAUGAUGAUAUUGAGCUUUAUACAUUUCUUACUGUAAACAUUCUUACUUGUGGUAUGUAUGGUUUCCUUUGUAGAAAGAGCGCAGGGAAAGGUACCUAGCCCAGCAGCAGGUUGAAGGUGUUGAUUCGGUGUAGAGUUAUGUUCCUUUUUGUUUAGAUCAUUUCUUUCUCUAGUGUGGAAGUUUCUAUAUAUGAUUGAAUUGUCGCCUAUUCAUGUGUGGAAGACCGUUGAGCAAUCUUAAAGGUAAAUGGAAUGGAAGCAUGUUUCGUUGUGGAUAGAUGUUACAUUUUUGUUUCUUGUUUUGUUUAAUUUUUGCUUUGUCCUUUUUAUGAGAAAAAUUAGUCUGAAGUUCUGCUUCAGGUCUCCUAAUGUACUUGUAGAUAGCAUAAAUGACAAUAGUGAUUUUUUACAGAACUUAUAAUCUCUGUUCUAGCUGGCUGUUUUGGCUCACUUCUCUCUUGAGAUAUCCAACACAAACACCUCUCCAUACGGCUAAUUUACUUACCAUAAGUUUUCUUCAUGAAUUUUGUGUUCUUGUAGAAAUGUUUGAUGCAGUUUGGGUUGUUUUCUCACAUAGAAUGGAAUGGGGUUAUUCAAAGUUUUGAGAAGUUCGAUCGCUUAUCAAAUUUCAUCAGGCAUGCAGUAAUCAGGUUUUUUUAACAUUUGCAACUCCAAUAAUGAGAACUCUGAAGAAGUGGCAAGUUGUCAAAGGAACACGGUGAUAGUACUUAAAUUUCAAUAAUUUAAUUGAAUGGUCAAAUAAUAUCGGAUUGAAGUGAUUUUUUGUAGAAAUGAUCUUUGAAUGAAUAUCUACAAAAUAGACGGUUUGGAUUAGUGAAAUACUAUGCAGAGUGGGUCCUACAAGGGUAUUUCUCACAUAAGCUUAUUUGAAAAAUCCCUCAACGGAAGCUCUAUAUAUAUAUAUAUCCCCCUUUUCUUUGGUGAGUAUUACAAUUAUUUGCUCCAUGGAAGUGAUUAUAUGGAUUAUGGGUAAGUAGGCAGGUACAUAACAACUCUGCUGCCAUGCUGGCUUACACUUUACGGAGCAUGAUCUCUGUGUGUGUUUUGUCUGAAAGGAUCCUGAAUCAGAUUACUACAACUAUUAUUUGGUAUUAUUCAGAGUUGACAGCUUCAAACUGAGUUGAGAUGUCAAGAAUCUUGCUCCAUUUCUUAAUUAUGUAGAAUAAUGGAAACUGGAUUGAGAUCUGAGUAUAAUACUUAUUUUAUGGUCCACUAACAAUAAAUUAACAUGUUAACCAAAACUUAUCCAUCAAAUUAUAUGAAGAUAAAUAUUGGGGAACCUUGGCCAGGGCUUUUUAUACUGUGACAUCCAAUGGAAACACCAUUUCUUGGUAGCAGUAUAUUUGCUUAGCUUUUUGUCUGCACGUCUAUGAUCUUUGAGAUAUAAACAAAGAAAGAGAUUUAUAUUUCAGGCAUAAAGAAUAUGUGUGCAGUUACUCUAAUAAAAAAAUAUUAUAUGAUGUUGUGGAGAAUAAAGAGAAGAUCUUAUCAACUACUUUGUCAAUGCAUUGGAAUACAAGCCAAUGACACUGGAUGGAUACAGCUGCCUGUAAUUAUAAAUUAAUUUCCAACUAGGUCUAGUACAAUAGAAAAAUAACUUUAAUUUGCAUCUUAUAAGUCUUAUGUUCGAAUUCUCGUAACGUUUUAAUUGUAUGUAUAAGAAACCUUUAUUUCCUGUAAUUUAGACUGUAACUUGUAUUUAAAAAAAAAUCUCCAACCAAGUCGUAAUCCCACUUUUAUAAUAUAAUUAAUAAAAGAAUUGGAUAAAUACCUGCCUGUCUGUAAUUUCAAAUUAAAAAAGUAACACUAUCUACGCUCUUUAACCCUUUUUUGGAAGAUCUUUAAGUUCCGAUCCUACUGAAAUUUGUUUAUUAAUUCUUGCUAAAGCGUAAAUUAUGAAACCCACAGAGAAUUAAAAAUCCAUAAUCAGCAUUAGUGGAUUCGAGCCUUACUGUUUUGGUAUGCUGCACAUCGCCAUCUCAGAUUCUCAGUGUAAAAUAAAAUCUAUCACGGAAGUUCAAACAUACGAUACCAUAUGGUUUUUUAAUUUUUGUUUUUAGAUUCUCAUUUUUUUGGCUGAAGUCUGAAAGCGAUUAUUAUAAAAGCACUAUUUCUAUAUGUUCCGUUCCAGCUCUUACCCCCACUCUCUCUCUCUCUGAUAAUGACCCGGGCAUACUAUUAUUGCAACUACAAUUAUUAUGUUCAUGAAAGCUGAUAGGUGGGUGGACCUCUCCCUGUGAAGGCGACCCAUUUGCUAUAGUGAUAAGAAUAAACAAAUAUCCAUUGGCCUAUGGAUAUGAGGCAAGUUUACAUUUUGAUCCCCAAUCAUUGUAUGAAAUCAUCCUGGUUUAUACAAUCCUUGCAAAAACCCUAUAUCCAGCAACAACUUACAUUCUGGAAGAGUUUUUUCAAUGGAUCACAAGGGUUAUGUUCUCUUCAUCCUAAUAUAUGUUCUUAUAUUAUUAUUAAGCUCGUAUGUUAGAUUAGAUUUUGAUUUUAAUCUUUCGAUUUCGUAUAUCAUUCACGUAUAAUGUAUUUACGAAUACCCUUAAAAUAGCAUAUCAACGUGAAUAAUAGGCCUAAAUUAAAACCGUAAUCUAACAUCAAGGUUUUAAAAAGAUGAAAAUUUUAUAUAUUUUGUUAUUGACAAGCUUGGAGGAUGAUAUGAUACCCUAUAUUUUGAAACUUGAGAUGACGAUGCCGUACAAAACUGAAUUGGUAUGCUACAUCAGCGUGAUGUACACCGUACAAGGUACAACAAAAACCGUCUUGGAUUCAUAUGAAGAAAUAUGAAUUAUGGAAAUGUUGUCGGCCUAGUUUCAAUCAAAAGAAUAAAAAGGGUAGCCGUUCGAUUCCGUAAUUGCAUCCAAUCUCAUCCGUCGAAAAUGGUAUAAAGCUAAAUACUAGCUAGAAACAAAACAUAAUUAGUUUAUUAUUCAUUUUAAUUUGUAACGCCGAAGACGAAGGAUAAAUAGAAGAAGAGUCCAGAGCCCGCUGCAGGGGACCCCACAGCAGCACGUGAUGCCCAUGCCUGCCCCACCCGAUGGCGCCAAAACGCAUAAAAGAGGCCCAACCCGCUCACGUGUCCCUCUCCCUCCUCCAUAUCAAAUCAUUUUCCCAUCACUAUCGAAAAGACAAAAUUGCCCCUGAGGCGACAACUUACUAUUAUACGACGAUAAGUCGUGGUAGACGACGACGUGUGGGCAGGCCGGCCCCAUGCUGAAGAGGACAUAUGCGUACUAUUCCGAGAGACAGAGAGAGAGAGAGAGAGAGAGAGGAAUUGGAUCCAUGAUGCUGAGUCAUCUGAUUCUGAUGUCCUCUGAGAAUUCGGAUAAGCUCGACACCUGUUCUUGCUCAUUGGCUCUCCUUCUCUUCGUCUCUCUUUUAUAUCGUUGUUUCUCGCGAUAACUCUAGCCCCGUUUUAUCUAUAAUUUGCAGAAUUAUUGUAAGCAAACUUUCUUUGUCAGUCUCCUAUAAUUAAACAUAUCUCAUUACUACUUUUCUCCUAGUCUUUGUUUUGAGCUACUUUAGUCUAAUUGAAGUUGGAAAUAACAGAUUUGUAAUAUCUCGUCAACAUCAAAGAAAGGGAAAUAUAACAACUAGAAAAUUAAAUAAUUUGUAUCAAUUUUUUGGUCAAUAGAAAGUAGAAUUUUAGAGUUAAAAGAUGUGGUUUUGUUAGAAUGGGAAAUACUAUUAGAUCAAUAAUUAAUUAUUAGUUUUAUUUAUAUAUAAAGUAAAAAACAGAUAAUGAUAAAACAUUCAAAAUACCAAAAAAUACUUUUGAUUAAUGCAAACAUUAAUAAUUAAAAUUAUUAAUUAAAUUAGAAUAAUAUGGUAAAUUCACACUUUUUUAUACUAAAAAAUUAAAAUUAAAAAAAAUCAAAUAAUUGAUCCUUUUUUUAUGGAACACAAUUACCUAUUUUUUUUUAAUUCUAAAAUAAAUUUGAUUUUUUUAAAAAAAGAACCUCUCAUAAACGAGGAAACGUGUGGGAAAAAGUUGAUAUAUAAUUGAGUCAUCACAUUUUAAAACUAAAGGUUAAGAUCAAAUUUAUUUAUCUUGAUUUAAUGAUUCAAUCAUUCACUUAUUUUCUAUUUUAUCAAUUAGAAAUGGAGUCAAAUCAAACUUAAAGAAAAUGUUGAAAAAGUGAAAAGAGACAAAUUCACUGACGUAAUUCAAUUUUGAGUAAAUUCAUUAUCUUAUAAAAGAAAAAACACAUUAUCUACUUACACAAUCAAAUUCUCGAGAAAUUGAGGAGAAAAUCAAAUUGCGGAGUUUGGACACAAUAAAACAUCAAAAUUAUCGAUACCUCCAAUCCAAAGAAUUGAGAAAACGCCAAAAGAAGCUGGGCCUCCACGCCCAGCCAGUCACCACUUAUCUAUCAAAACCAUUUCCGCUCUCUGAAAAACCAGUGGUUUUUCAGCAAACCCGGAUUCAUUUCCUUCCAUCUUUCCCUAUAAAUUAACGCCAUUGUCCCCUUAACUCACUCUUACGGACUUCACAAACACCAAAAACAACAGCAAAAGCAAUUACAACCCUUAAUUUCAAUUUCAGUUCCAGAGUUUCAGAGUCUAGCAAUCGAAGAUGAACCAUUUGAACAGAGUUUGGAUGGCGGCGAGCGUGGUCGUGGUGCAGGGCCCUGCCGACCAGGGGCCUAAGUGGACAUCCGGUCUUAAAUCCUUCCAGCUAAGCAGGAGGAGAUGCUUGGGUGGUGCCGGGGACGCUUCGGAUCUCCGCCCAUUGUCCGGCGCAGUCGGGUCGGGUUUCUCCCAAGUUUGUGAGGAGAGACGGAACCAGGCCGACGAGUCUAUCCAAAAAGUCAUGUACUUGAACUGCUGGGGUCAGGGCUGAGGUCGGCGGCGAUUGGAAUUUUCCGGCGCAGAAUGAUUGGAGUUUUUAACUCGGGAGUUGCCGUUUACUCUCGGAGAGGUGUGGUUGGGUUAAAUUGAAACGGGUAACUCCACGAUUGAGUUGACGCGGAUGGAAUCUUUCUUUGUAAAUUGUACAGAAAAUCUUGAAUUGUGGAGAUUUAGAGGAAAACCAUGAAUAAUAGAUGGGACCUUUUAUUUUCAUCUCUUUCUUUUUAUUUUUAUAUUUAAAUUUCAUGAAAGGAACUUUCAAUUGAUCAACAAAAAAAAUUUACAAAACCCAAGUUCAUGUUACAAAUUAAAAUUUACAUAACUGAAUAAAAUGAAUUGACUAAUAUUAAUUGGUGUUUAAUUUAGUUGUGCAAUUAGGUGGUAAAAGUUUUCACAACAUGUAUAAAUGUUGUUGAUUAACCAGAGUUUUCCAUUUAUUAUAUUGUAAAAUAAUAGUCG
Molecule: long non-coding RNA, 32064 nt
Filed under: Prunus persica (peach)
Lineage: Eukaryota; Viridiplantae; Streptophyta; Magnoliopsida; Rosales; Rosaceae
Description: long non-coding RNA (PPER_LNC003842)
Source: RNAcentral